UUUCAGUUGCAUCUUUUCAACAAAUUUGACUCUCUCCCUACAAAGGAAAGUUUGUAUCAGCUACUGAGAAGACUUGGACUGGAACUUACUUCACCAGAUCUCAUGGUUCUUGGGCCUUCAGACUCAGGUUGGAACUAUGCUAUCAGCUUUCCUGGAUCUCCAGCUUGCUGACUACACAAUCUAGGACUUCUCAGCCUUUGUAAUUGUGAGGAACAAAUUGUUCUACAGAAAAUGAAGGAAACUCCAAAUGUUCAAGAGACUGGGGAUGAUAUAUGAAAGCUUUCACCAUUAGCUCCUGCACAUACUUAUAUACUGAAUAGGACCAUGAAAAAGUGCUUAAGCUCAAACAGGAAUACUUCUACGAUUAUGUGAAGAAGCCUGGGCUAGCCUGCUGAAGGAUGAAAGACCAUGUAGAAAGCAGCCUCAGCUAUUCCAGUCCUGGAAUGAACACACGAAAAGCAGAGCUGUCCCCACUGCAUAAAAUAGGCUCUUCAUAUUGACCUGCAUAACCGUGAGUGAUAAAAAUUAUUAUUUGAAGUCAGUGAGGUUUGAGUUGGUUUGUUAUGCAGCAUUAUUGUGCAAUUGUCAACUGAAACAGAAACCUGGAGAUACACGAAUUAAAAACUUGGUAACCCUCUCAACCCAGAUGUUUUAAUAUACUAAAUAACUAUGUAUAAUCAGUAGGUUGGUUAAAUAUUGGUAAGUGGAAUGGAGAAAAAGUAAACGGGGUAGAGGAAUGGGGAGGAGUGUUUUGUAGCAGGUCAGUGUCCCUGAAAAGCAAACACUGAGAAAAAGAUUAGCAGGAAGGGUCAUUGUUCCUUUCAUCAUGGCAAUAGUGGCAGAUAUACUUUAAAAUAUAAUUAUACAGGCCGGGUGCAGUGGCUCACACCUGUAAUCCCAGCC
Long non-coding RNA from Pan troglodytes (chimpanzee), 903 nucleotides. RefSeq lists it as uncharacterized. The transcript is spliced from 6 exons. The record is from RefSeq and is a predicted model, not a curated record. NCBI's taxonomy places the organism in Eukaryota, Metazoa, Chordata, Mammalia, Primates, Hominidae.